UACGUAGGGGGCAAGCGUUAUCCGGAUUUACUGGGUGUAAAGGGUGCGUAGGCGGUCUCUUAAGUCAGCGGUCAAAGCCCGGGGCUCAACCCCGGCCCGCCGUUGAAACUGGGGGACUCGAGUUGGAGAGGCAGGCGGAAUUCCGUGUGUAGCGGUGAAAUGCGUAGAUAUCGCGCAGAACCCCGAUUGCGAAGGCAGCCUGCCGGCUCCACACUGACGCUGAGGCACGAAAGCGUGGGUAUCGAACA
RNAcentral lists this ribosomal RNA (248 nucleotides) under uncultured Muribaculaceae bacterium. RNAcentral's name for it is "partial 16S ribosomal RNA". It matches the Rfam family "Bacterial small subunit ribosomal RNA", at positions 524 to 774 of the family's 1533-position model. Lineage: Bacteria; Pseudomonadati; Bacteroidota; Bacteroidia; Bacteroidales; Muribaculaceae. The record is from RNAcentral.